GGAUUCCUCUAGUAACUGCGAGUGAAAAAGGAUAAGCUCAGCGCUGAAUCUCUGUGGUUUAACUACUGCAGCGAACUGUAGCGUAUAAGGAUAUAUUAUGGCAUAAUAUAGAUAUCUAAGUUCUCGUUGAUUCGAGUUCCAAAGAAGGUUUAAGACCUGUAAGGUAUCUAAUAUUUUGUCAAUUGAUAUUUUCUUACGAGUCGAGUUGUUUGGAAACGCAGCUCAAAGUAGGUGGUAAACUCCAUCUAAAGCUAAAUAUAACCGUGAGACCAAUAGUAAACAAGUACCGUGAGGGAAAGUUGAAAAGUACUCUGAAGAGAGAGUUAAAAGAACGUGAAAACGAUUAAGUGGAAGCAAACAGGUCUAUUUGAAGAUAUAUAGUUUUCUAUAUAUCUGCUAAUAAGUAUACGAAGUAACUAUUAUGUUGUUUUAAGAGGACUCUUUUGAGAACCCUUAUAAUGAUUGAACGUUGUCUUUCUAUGCGAAUAUUAGCAUUUAUGAUGGUUACCUGUUUGACCCGUCUUGAAACACGGACCAAGAAGUUUAUUGUAUACGCGAGUCACUAAGUGUAAAAACUUAUUGGCACAAUGAAAGUAAAGGUUUACUCGUUAAGCUUAUGUGUGAUGGUGUGUUUACGGAUACUCUGGCAACACAGUCCUAUUCUAAUGAUUUAUCAUAGAGUGGAGAUAGAGCGUAUGCAAUGAGACCCGAAAGAUGGUGAUCUAUGCUUGAGCAGGAUGAAGCCGGAGGAAACUCUGGUGGAAGUCCGUAACGGUUCUGACGUGCAAAUCGAUCGUCUGACUUGAGUAUAGGGGCGAAAGACUAAUCGAACCAUCUAGUAG
RNAcentral lists this ribosomal RNA (842 nucleotides) under Halicephalobus sp. KW-1A-1. RNAcentral describes it as "LSU rRNA". It matches the Rfam family "Eukaryotic large subunit ribosomal RNA", at positions 72 to 950 of the family's 3401-position model. Lineage: Eukaryota; Metazoa; Nematoda; Chromadorea; Rhabditida; Panagrolaimidae. The record is from RNAcentral.